CUGGGAAAGCGCCAGCGGGUGAGUCGCCCUCACACCAAGAUGGCGGAGCGGGGAGGCCAGGAGGAGCGGAGGCUGCAGGAGCAGCAGCGACAAGAGCGAGGUCCGGGCCAGCGGUGGUGUUAGAGCGGCUGGGCACCGACACGACACGAUAGGGGAGCGAACAGAAUUCUUCGCAGCGCUUUUCUGCAGGGUAAAAUCUACCGGCGGGAAGCGGAGACUGGGAGUGAGCCGGACGCUCAGCCGCCGCCACCAGAGGAGGAGGAGGAGGCGGCUCGUUUGCGAGGUCGGGGAGGGAAACCUAUAACCACACAUACACGUCCCUCCCACCUGGGAGGCCUGUCCGCACGCCGGCCCUUGGGACAGGAGCGGAAAAAGAAAAGCCCAGGCUGGAAGGCAACCCGCUUUCGUAUGAAUUCCGCCGAGGCCAGCUCGGAGUGUGCGCCACCAGAGGCGAACGCAAGGUCGUAAACACAGUAGAGUUGCUACAAUUAGUUGGACUAGGGAGUUCUGAUCACAUACGUUUACGCAGACAAGACCAGAAUACCUCAGAUCGGCUCUCCAGAUGGUGAAGUUAUUGCACAGGGAGAACCUCUAGCAAAAAACCACACAGCAAGCCGAAUG
This is a long non-coding RNA of Rhincodon typus (whale shark), 621 nucleotides long. RefSeq lists it as uncharacterized. The record is from RefSeq and is a predicted model, not a curated record. NCBI's taxonomy places the organism in Eukaryota, Metazoa, Chordata, Chondrichthyes, Orectolobiformes, Rhincodontidae. The transcript has 3 exons.